AUGGGCGCAGCCUGAUGCAGCGACGCCGCGUGCGGGAUGACGGCCUUCNGGUUGUAAACCGCUUUUGACUGGGAGCAAGCCCUUCGGGGUGAGUGUACCUUUCGAAUAAGCACCGGCUAACUACGUGCCAGCAGCCGCGGUAAUACGUAGGGUGCAAGCGUUAUCCGGAAUUAUUGGGCGUAAAGGGCUCGUAGGCGGUUCGUCGCGUCCGGUGUGAAAGUCCAUCGCUUAACGGUGGAUCCGCGCCGGGUACGGGCGGGCUUGAGUGCGGUAGGGGAGACUGGAAUUCCCGGUGUAACGGUGGAAUGUGUAGAUAUCGGGAAGAACACCAGUGGCGAAGGCGGCCUGCUGGACUGUUACUGACACUGAGGCACGAAAGCGUGGGGAGCAAACAGGAUUAGAUACCCUGGUAGUCCAAGGGCGAAUUC
Molecule: ribosomal RNA, 428 nt
Filed under: uncultured bacterium
Lineage: Bacteria
Description: SSU rRNA
Rfam family: Bacterial small subunit ribosomal RNA
Source: RNAcentral